AGAGUUUGAUCCUGGCUCAGAACGAACGCUGGCGGCGUGGCUAAGACAUGCAAGUCGAACGGUCCGGUAUUUAUUUGUUUACAAAUUAUGCCGGAUAGUGGCGAAAGGGUGAGUAAUGGGUAGGUAACGUACCUCGUGCUUCGGGAUAGUGUCUGUUUACCUUCGGGUAAACUUCCGAAAGGGGCAGUAAUACCGAAUAAUAUCAGGUCUCCUAAGGUAUCUGAUCAAAGAUUUAUCGGCAUAAGAGCGGCCUACCUCCUAUCAGCUUGUUGGUGAGGUAAUGGCUCACCAAGGCGAUGACGGGUAGCGGGACUGAGAGGUUGGCCCGCCACAUCGGGACUGAGACACUGCCCGGACCUCCACGGAGGGCUGCAGUAACGAAUCUUGCGCAAUGGGCGAAAGCCUGACGCAGCGACGCCGCGUGCGGGAAGAAGUCUUUCGGGAUGUAAACCGCUGUCAGGGGGAAGAAAGUGCGCUCCGGCGUAUUGAUCUAACCCAAAGGAAGUCACGGCUAACUUCGUGCCAGCAGCCGCGGUAAGACGAAGGUGGCGAGCGUUGUUCGGUAUUACUGGGCUUAAAGCGUGUGUAGGCGGAAGAGUAAGCGCCUUGUGAAAUCCCUCGGCUUAACCGAGGAAUUGCUUGGCGAACUGCUUUUCUUGAGGCAAGUAGGGGUGCAUGGAACUCUUGGUGGAGCGGUGGAAUGCGUAGAUAUCAAGAGGAACGCCGGUAGUGAAAACGGUGCACUGGGCUUGUCCUGACGCUGAGACACGAAAGCGUGGGUAGCGAACGGGAUUAGAUACCCCGGUAGUCCACGCCGUAAACGAUGC
This 827-nucleotide ribosomal RNA is filed under the name uncultured bacterium. RNAcentral describes it as "bacterial SSU rRNA". It matches the Rfam family "Bacterial small subunit ribosomal RNA", at positions 8 to 812 of the family's 1533-position model. The record is from RNAcentral.